RNAcentral lists this long non-coding RNA (1255 nucleotides) under Phoenix dactylifera (date palm). Its description in RNAcentral is "long non-coding RNA (PDAC_LNC015013)". Lineage: Eukaryota; Viridiplantae; Streptophyta; Magnoliopsida; Arecales; Arecaceae. The record is from RNAcentral.
GCGAACCGAGAGGGGAGGAGCUCCGCUGCCGGGACGGUGGGUGGCGGUGCGUCGACUGGUGGCGUCCUCCUGGAGAAUCCUGCAAGAAAGCCGGUGGCCGGGCUUUCCGGCGCCGGCCCUCCGAAGCUUAAGUCAGAGGGGGUUAAUAUGUGGGGAGUCAAGGAGGAGAAUGUUUGUUCUCUCUUUUUUGUGUAUAUCUGUGUCCGUGUGUCUCCUUUUCCCCCCAGGUUCUCUUUUAUAGGAAGAUAUUAUGUUACCUGGGAGGUGACAGAGAAAUUUGUCUUCUUUUGUGAUAAUUGGGCACGAUCACGCUCAUUAAUGGCAUUGUGGAGAAUAAGGCCGGAUCAGGCCGGAGUCAGGGAGUUGUCACGGUUGAUCGGACCCGUUGGGGUGGUUGAACCGCCGGCCGUGGUGGGCCUGGGGUUCGUAGAUAACAAGUGCAUUGAUUGCUGAGUGAACCGGUGGUCAGGGAGAGCCAUAUGCUUUGAUGGUUCAGUGAUCCGGAGAUCAUCUUGAGCCGUGUUCAUUUAAUGGCCGAGUGCAUCGGAGGCCUGAGGGGGUCUCAUGCAUUAAUGAUAGGGCGUGCCGAAUGCCGGCAGAGAUCACGUGCCUUGAUGACCUAGGAAUGGUGGCAGAUUGUAGUGGAGUCAUGUAUUUAGUUGUCAGAUCCUUUAGAGGAUUAGGUGGAGAUUGGAUAUUUGGCUAAGGUACGGGCCUGGCUCGGGUGCUGAGCCGAGCCGGUUGCUUAGCGGAGUGUCCUGUGGCGGGGUUGCUUCUCUUGGUCGGCGCUCUUUGGUCGAGCACCUCUCUGGUCGGCGCUCUUUGGCCGAGCGCCUUCAGACUGGCACGACUUGGGUUUUUCCCCCAACACUACCCCCCGACUUCCGAGUUCCAGCUGGCCACCAGCUUGAGCGCGGGAAGUAGUUUUAGUCGGGCCAUUAUGAGUUAAAAGAGAAUUUUGAAUUAUCGCGCGUUUCGAAUUAUCGGGCGCUUCGAGGUGCCUCUAAUGGGCGGCGUCUCUUCUUUUCCGAAAAUGCCUCAUUAUUGGGACGCCUUCUCCGAAGCGUCCUCGCGUCGUGGGCUCAUGAUGGAGCCGCAUGAUCCGACGGGGCGCUUCUGUGUUCGAAGCGUCAGCCCGAAUUAAAUGUGGCGCUCCGUCUUUUGGGUCAACACGCGUCGUGAUCCGAACGGGGAGCAGCGUUUUUUCUCGCUGAUCUGGGCCGUUGGAGGGAUUUAUAUAAAUCCUCACCUGGCC